Molecule: ribosomal RNA, 534 nt
Filed under: uncultured bacterium
Lineage: Bacteria
Description: partial 16S ribosomal RNA
Rfam family: Bacterial small subunit ribosomal RNA
Source: RNAcentral
UGGGGAAUUUUGGACAAUGGGCGCAAGCCUGAUCCAGCCAUGCCGCGUGCGGGAAGAAGGCCUUCGGGUUGUAAACCGCUUUUGUCAGGGAAGAAAUCUUCUGAGUUAAUACCUCGGGAGGAUGACGGUACCUGAAGAAUAAGCACCGGCUAACUACGUGCCAGCAGCCGCGGUAAUACGUAGGGUGCAAGCGUUAAUCGGAAUUACUGGGCGUAAAGCGUGCGCAGGCGGUUUUGUAAGACAGAGGUGAAAUCCCCGGGCUCAACCUGGGAACUGCCUUUGUGACUGCAAGGCUUGAGUGCGGCAGAGGGGGAUGGAAUUCCGCGUGUAGCAGUGAAAUGCGUAGAUAUGCGGAGGAACACCGAUGGCGAAGGCCAAUCCCCUGGGCCUGCACUGACGCUCAUGCACGAAAGCGUGGGGAGCAAACAGGAUUAGAUACCCCUGGUAGUCCACGCCCUAAACGAUGUCGACUGGUUGUUGGGAAGGUUCCUUCUCAGUAACGUAGCUAACGCGUGAAGUUGACCGCCUGGGGAG